UACGGAGGGUGCAAGCGUUGUUCGGAAUUACUGGGCGUAAAGGGCGCGUAGGCGGUCUGCUAAGUUCGGUGUGAAAGCCCCUGGCUCAACUGGGGAACUGCGCCGGAAACUGGCAGACUAGAGUACCGGAGAGGAGGGUGGAAUUCCUGGUGUAGCGGUGAAAUGCGUAGAUAUCAGGAGGAACACCGGUGGCGAAGGCGGCCCUCUGGACGGAUACUGACGCUGAGGCGCGAAAGCGUGGGGAUCAAACAGG
This 253-nucleotide ribosomal RNA is filed under the name uncultured bacterium. Its description in RNAcentral is "partial 16S ribosomal RNA". It matches the Rfam family "Bacterial small subunit ribosomal RNA", at positions 524 to 776 of the family's 1533-position model. The record is from RNAcentral.